This 253-nucleotide ribosomal RNA is filed under the name uncultured bacterium. RNAcentral's name for it is "partial 16S ribosomal RNA". It matches the Rfam family "Bacterial small subunit ribosomal RNA", at positions 524 to 776 of the family's 1533-position model. The record is from RNAcentral.
UACAGAGGUGGCAAGCGUUGUUCGGAAUUACUGGGCGUAAAGGGCGCGUAGGCGGCCUUCUAAGUCAGACGUGAAAUCCCCAGGCUUAACUUGGGAACUGCGUCUGAUACUGGAAGGCUUGAGUGCGGGAGAGGGAUGUGGAAUUCCAGGUGUAGCGGUGAAAUGCGCAGAUAUCAGGAGGAACACCAGUGGCGAAGGCGCCGCUCUGGGCCGUAACUGACGCUGAGAAGCGAAAGCGUGGGGAGCAAACAGG